UUCUAGAUUUGUUGUUUGAAAUGCCUGUUUGUAUCGCAUUUGGAUGUGCAAACAGAACUAAGUGCAAAACUGAGAGCCGGUCGACUACCUCUACUUCCAAUGCUUCCAAUUCCAAAAUAUCAUUUCACAGGAUUCCUGGUAAAGAACCUCAGCGUAGUUCCUGGCUUCAGGCACUGAGACGAGCUAAUUAUAAUCCUGCAAAUGAUGCUGAUGCUAGGGUCUGCUCCUGUCAUUUUACUGAUUCUGAUUUUUAUUUUACCAAUGAGGGCCUUAGAAAAAUCAAGAAGAAUGCUGUCCCCUCAGUUUUCCCAGCUUUCCCUAAGAUGAAAAACUUGAAGAAAUUGGCAAAAAUGAAGGACUCGCCAACGGACUCGCAGAAGGGAGUAUGCUUUCAAUAGCUAAACAA
Molecule: long non-coding RNA, 406 nt
Filed under: Bemisia tabaci
Lineage: Eukaryota; Metazoa; Arthropoda; Insecta; Hemiptera; Aleyrodidae
Description: lncRNA ENSASIAIIG010323
Source: RNAcentral